CAGUGAAUAGUUUAAUUUAGAAUAUGGUAUUUGGAUUACCAAGGUUCAAAUCACUGA
Molecule: transfer RNA, 57 nt
Filed under: Strongyloides fuelleborni fuelleborni
Lineage: Eukaryota; Metazoa; Nematoda; Chromadorea; Rhabditida; Strongyloididae
Description: tRNA-Pro
Source: RNAcentral